Molecule: ribosomal RNA, 399 nt
Filed under: uncultured bacterium
Lineage: Bacteria
Description: bacterial SSU rRNA
Rfam family: Bacterial small subunit ribosomal RNA
Source: RNAcentral
AAUCAACGCUGGCGGCGUGCCUAACACAUGCAAGUCGAACGCGAAAAGGGGCAACCCUGAGUAGAGUGGCGUCCGGGUGAGUAACACGUGGAUAAUCUGCCUGCGGGCGGGGAAUAACUUUCCGAAAGGGGAGGCCAAUACCGCAUAACACCGUAAUAGGGCAUCCUGAUACGGUCAAAGAGGGGGAUCGCAAGACCUCUCGCCUGCAGAGGAGUCCGCGGCCGAUUAGCUAGNGGCGAGGUAACGGCUCACCAAGGCAGCGAUCGGUAGCCGGCCUGAGAGGGCGAACGGCCACACUGGCACUGAAAUACGGGCCAGACUCCUACGGGAGGCAGCAGUUGGGGAAUUUUGGGCAAUGGCCGAAAAGGCUGACCCAGCAACGCCGCGUGAAGGAUGAAA